RNAcentral lists this RNase P RNA (357 nucleotides) under Candidatus Harrisonbacteria bacterium CG10_big_fil_rev_8_21_14_0_10_42_17. Its description in RNAcentral is "RNase P RNA component class A". It matches the Rfam family "Bacterial RNase P class A". From Rfam's summary of the family: Ribonuclease P (RNase P) is a ubiquitous endoribonuclease, found in archaea, bacteria and eukarya as well as chloroplasts and mitochondria. Its best characterised activity is the generation of mature 5'-ends of tRNAs by cleaving the 5'-leader elements of precursor-tRNAs. The record is from RNAcentral. Lineage: Bacteria; Candidatus Harrisoniibacteriota.
ACUGGUAAUCGAGAUGAUUGCUCCGAUCUGCCUUGGUAGAUAAGAGAGGAAAGUCCGGACACUCGUACUCGCUUUGGUGAGUACAGAUGGAUAGCGGGUAACGCCCGUCGAAAGUGAUUUUAGAGGUGCGAGCAGUGACGGUCCGACGUGUAAAUGUCGGACAAGCCCGAUCCCAAGCUAGAAGGCUUAAUUCCGUUAUGGGGAGAAAAAGACGGAAGUGAAACGGCAAAAUCCUUAUCCGAGUGCAAGGCCGUGCUCCGACUUUGGUUGGAGAGUGCCGCAAGAUCCCGAAAGUAAUUGAGGGACCAGAUAAAUAAUCAUCCACGACAGAAUCCGGCUUACUGAUUGCCAGUCCGU